This 468-nucleotide ribosomal RNA is filed under the name uncultured bacterium. Its description in RNAcentral is "partial 16S ribosomal RNA". It matches the Rfam family "Bacterial small subunit ribosomal RNA", at positions 28 to 507 of the family's 1533-position model. The record is from RNAcentral.
GACGAACGCUGGCGGCGUGCUUAACACAUGCAAGUCGAACGGAAAGGCCCUGCUUUUGUGGGGUGCUCGAGUGGCGAACGGGUGAGUAACACGUGAGUAACCUGCCCUUGACUUUGGGAUAACUUCAGGAAACUGGGGCUAAUACCGGAUAGGAGCUCCUGCUGCAUGGUGGGGGUUGGAAAGUUUCGGCGGUUGGGGAUGGACUCGCGGCUUAUCAGCUGGUUGGUGGGGUAGUGGCUGACCAAGUCUUUGACGGGUAGCCGGCCUGAGAGGGUGACCGGCCUCAUGGGGACUACGAGAGGGCCCAGACUCCUACGGGAGGCAGCAGUGGGGAAUAUUGCAGAAUGGGCGGACGCCUGAUGCAGCAACCCCGCGUGCGGGAUGACGGCCUUCGGGUUGUAAACCGCUUUCGCCUGUGACGAAGCGUGAGUGACGGUAAUGGGUAAAGAAGCACCGGCUAACUACGUG